GUGGGGAAUCUUCCACAAUGGACGAAAGUCUGAUGGAGCAACGCCGCGUGAGUGAAGAAGGGUUUCGGCUCGUAAAGCUCUGUUGUCGGGGACGAAUGUGCAGUAUUUGAAUAAAGUACUGUAAUGACGGUACCUGACGAGGAAGCCACGGCUAACUACGUGCCAGCAGCCGCGGUAAUACGUAGGUGGCAAGCGUUGUCCGGAAUUAUUGGGCGUAAAGGGAGCGCAGGCGGGAAGGUAAGUCGGUCUUAAAAGUGCGGGGCUCAACCCCGUGAUGGGAUCGAAACUAUCUUUCUUGAGUGCAGGAGAGGAAAGUGGAAUUCCUAGUGUAGCGGUGAAAUGCGUAGAUAUUAGGAGGAACACCAGUGGCGAAGGCGACUUUCUGGACUGUAACUGACGCUGAGGCUCGAAAGCCAGGGGAGCGAACGGGAUUAGAAACCCUUGUAGUCC
This 450-nucleotide ribosomal RNA is filed under the name uncultured bacterium. RNAcentral's name for it is "partial 16S ribosomal RNA". It matches the Rfam family "Bacterial small subunit ribosomal RNA", at positions 354 to 796 of the family's 1533-position model. The record is from RNAcentral.